CCGCCAUUAGCUCAUCAGGAAAGAGCGCCAGCCUUCGAAGCUGGUUGCGCGGAGUUCGGGCCCCCGAAGGCGGUCCA
This 77-nucleotide transfer RNA is filed under the name Escherichia coli. RNAcentral's name for it is "tRNA-Arg". It matches the Rfam family "tRNA". Rfam says of the family: Transfer RNA (tRNA) molecules are approximately 80 nucleotides in length. Their secondary structure includes four short double-helical elements and three loops (D, anti-codon, and T loops). Further hydrogen bonds mediate the characteristic L-shaped molecular structure. tRNAs have two regions of fundamental functional importance: the anti-codon, which is responsible for specific mRNA codon recognition, and the 3' end, to which the tRNAs corresponding amino acid is attached (by aminoacyl-tRNA synthetases). tRNAs cope with the degeneracy of the genetic code in two manners: having more than one tRNA (with a specific anti-codon) for a particular amino acid; and 'wobble' base-pairing, i.e. permitting non-standard base-pairing at the 3rd anti-codon position. Lineage: Bacteria; Pseudomonadati; Pseudomonadota; Gammaproteobacteria; Enterobacterales; Enterobacteriaceae. The record is from RNAcentral. RNAcentral also lists the same sequence under 1 other name.